Oncorhynchus keta (chum salmon) is the source of this 325-nucleotide long non-coding RNA. RefSeq lists it as uncharacterized. The record is from RefSeq and is a predicted model, not a curated record. The transcript is spliced from 3 exons. Lineage: Eukaryota; Metazoa; Chordata; Actinopteri; Salmoniformes; Salmonidae.
UAAAAACCUCUGCAACUUGUGGGGACAUAUUAAUAACGUACAAUUUAAGGGUGAUGCCUUUCAGUGCCCAGUCCAGGCCCUUGCGAUACUGCAGUCCAUAGUCUUGGAACUCUAUAGUGCCAGUCUGAGGCCAGGCCAGAGGCAGGGAACUGCCCUCCACGGUCCACACAGCCUGGCUUUAUUUUUAAAAAAUCUGAAAACGGAACAAUGUACACCUGUCACCACAUCAACUGGAUAUAUUAUUUUCCCAGAGCAUGUACUGCAAGGUGAAUGUGUUGUUUCUAUCAAACCUAACCUGGUGGCCACAAAGCGGGGGAAGUAGGAG